GGAAGUAAAAGUCGUAACAAGGUCUCCGUUGGUGAACCAGCGGAGGGAUCAUUACUGAGUUUACGCUCUAUAACCCUUUGUGAACAUACCUAUAACUGUUGCUUCGGCGGGUAGGGUCUCCGCGACCCUCCCGGCCUCCCGCCUCCGGGCGGGUCGGCGCCCGCCGGAGGAUAACCAAACUCUGAUUUAACGACGUUUCUUCUGAGUGGUACAAGCAAAUAAUCAAAACUUUUAACAACGGAUCUCUUGGUUCUGGCAUCGAUGAAGAACGCAGCGAAAUGCGAUAAGUAAUGUGAAUUGCAGAAUUCAGUGAAUCAUCGAAUCUUUGAACGCACAUUGCGCCCGCCAGCAUUCUGGCGGGCAUGCCUGUUCGAGCGUCAUUUCAACCCUCAAGCUCUGCUUGGUGUUGGGGCCCUACAGCUGAUGUAGGCCCUCAAAGGUAGUGGCGGACCCUCCCGGAGCCUCCUUUGCGUAGUAACUUUACGUCUCGCACUGGGAUCCGGAGGGACUCUUGCCGUAAAACCCCCCAAUUUUCCAAAGGUUGACCUCGGAUCAGGUAGGAAUACCCGCUGAACUUAAGCAUAUCAAUAAGCGGAGGA
RNAcentral lists this ribosomal RNA (599 nucleotides) under Colletotrichum gloeosporioides. Its description in RNAcentral is "eukaryotic LSU rRNA". The stretch from base 227 to 380 matches the Rfam family "5.8S ribosomal RNA". The record is from RNAcentral. RNAcentral also lists the same sequence under 1 other name. Lineage: Eukaryota; Fungi; Ascomycota; Sordariomycetes; Glomerellales; Glomerellaceae.